CUGUUCUCGGCUUGGUUAAGCAUGAUAGGAUUUCAGCAACUCCACCGGCUCUCCCGUUCUGGAUUAGCACUACUUUUUCUAUUUGGAAACCCUGCAAUCAGCUGCACACACCCCUUUGGAAAGAAACAAGAGUCCAAGAUGUCUGAGAAAAAAAUGUCAUCGAGUCGCAAGCAUCAUCUGAAGAGCGUGAUGCUCCAGAUUGCUAAGGACUUGCUGGAGGCAGAGGCCAUAGAGGCAGUGGAAGAGAAAAAAAGGUACAUGGAUGAGAGCUGCCCCGCAUUGGACCUGCCUGGGUCAUUGGUGGAACUGCAGGAAAUGUGCAAGACAAUCCAUCACCAGCUUGAUAAAGUGGAUGAGGAGAGAUACGACCUGGCAGGCAAAGUGGGCAAGUGUGACAAAGAGAUUGAUGAUUUGAGGAUUAAAGUGGUUGAGAUCCAGGGCAUUAAGAAGCCAGCUCUGAAGAAAGUACGUAUGUCUGCUGAUGCUAUGCUCCAGGCUUUGUUGGGCUCCAAGCACAAGGUGACCAUGGAUCUGAGAUCCAAUCUGAAACAAGUGAAGAAGGAAGUCAAAGAGGAUGACAAAGAUACAGUGGGUGACUGGCGUAAGAACAUUGACGACAAGGCCGGCAUGGACGGCAGGAAGAAGAUGUUUGAGGCCGCAUAAACGCUAUGGCAAGAACCAUUUCCCCUGCUUUUCUCUGUGUCUUAAUAAAUCAGUUGGUAGCCAUGGCCGUCUUUUGUGUUGGAUAUAUAAGGUGGUAUUGUGGUUAAGUCCCAGGUGGAUUUGUAUGACCUUGUUAUUGAUUUCACUGCUUCCUUUUUGUCUGUAUACGCCAGACCCAGGUAAUCACCUCACAGCAACUUGAACACAUUUUGAAAGGCACUUAUUGUAUAUGAAAUAAAUAUUUCAACACUUACAACUGGAAUAGCAGUUUUAUUUUGCUUGCACGUCUUCAUAAUGUGUGAGAUUAAAAAAUUAAAACUACUUAUGCAGUAGUCUACUUGAUUUGGGUAGGAUUAGUAUACUAUUCAAUGUUAUUCAAUAGAAGAUAAUGGGCAUGAAAAGCUAAGUGUAAAAAACAAACGGAAUAACUAAAGGACUUUAAACCUAGGACUUGAUUUAUUGGAACAUAUCACACACACCAAAAGGCAUAUUCUCUGUGCAUGUACUCUUUUGCUCUCAUGUUAUAAAUAUUAAUUUCAUGAAUUAAUCAUUGCAUAACUUUUUAAAUAGUAUAACAAUAAACUAUUUAUAUAUAUUAACCAAAACCACAAGAUGUCAGUGGAACACCUGUUCUCCUUGCCUCCCCUCUGCCCCUGUCUCUCUCUCUCUCUGUGUCAAUCUGCUGACCUAGUGAACUUGAGGUUGGUGCUGUAUCUUGUGACAUCUCCGAUGCAGUGAGAGCGGGACAGUGGAGGACUAGGAUGGAUAUGAUGCCCUCUACUGCCCCACCAUAGCUCACACAACUGCAGUGUAGAAUUCAGUCUGGGAACAUGAACAAUUGAGACAUCUAAUGGAAAAAGGAUAUUUGGG
Oncorhynchus nerka (sockeye salmon) is the source of this 1533-nucleotide RNA transcript. It is a transcript of the gene named troponin I, fast skeletal muscle-like, with no coding region annotated. The transcript has 9 exons. Lineage: Eukaryota; Metazoa; Chordata; Actinopteri; Salmoniformes; Salmonidae. The record is from RefSeq and is a predicted model, not a curated record.